Long non-coding RNA from Lates calcarifer (barramundi perch), 1149 nucleotides. RefSeq lists it as uncharacterized. The record is from RefSeq and is a predicted model, not a curated record. NCBI's taxonomy places the organism in Eukaryota, Metazoa, Chordata, Actinopteri, Centropomidae. The transcript has 3 exons.
UGUGUCUACAAGACUGCGUGUCGAGGGACUUGGCGUCUCUGUUCCUCAUCUGUGGACUCCUGCGAGACUGUGCUCUCCAGCCCUGAUAAUCAACCCAAAAAAAAAACGAGGGGAGAUGUUUUCUCUCUGUUGCUCAGUGGGAACAGAAAAGCGCAGUGGGAAGGUCAAGGGUCCCCACUUAGCCCGAGGGAAGAAAAGCACAUGUGACACUGGAUCCUGGCAGGGCUAAUGUCAUUACUCGGCGACCCCCCCCCUCCCUCCGCCACCCUCAGACCUGCUGCUGGAGGUUCAGAAACCCACUUCCUGGUACUUCAUCUCAAGGUGCUUCUAUUCACACACCACACAAACAGGAAACAGUCCCCUUUCAUGUCCCUCACACUGCAUGCAGUUCAGAGUUUUUCUGAAAGGCUGCGAGAGAAAGUAAGGUACGCACAAGUCAUUCUCACCUGGUUUAGCUUGAUAUAAAAACCUUUGAAUGUUUGUCUUCUCUUCUCACCUUAUUAAAACUCACAUAUAGAACAGUUUUAAAGGGGGAAUCAGACAUUUGCUGAAAGUGGCAAACUAUGAAAAUAACCUCAUUAUACCACAUACAGAAAUAAUUGUUGUUGGCCAAAAUAGUCAUUCACAGACACAUACUGUAGGUUGUGAUAUCUCCGUAGACUUAUUUCUGUUGGGUAGUGCUCUGUAAACAGUACUGUCAACACCAAUCAUAGAUAUACAGAGUGUAACAACUCAUUGUAUUUAACCAUGAUUUACAGCUGGAGCCUCUGAGACCCCAAACAAAAUCAUGCCUGUGAGCAAUUCUCAUAAAAAUUUGUUAGAGUUAUUAAAUUAUAAGCUAAUAAAACAGUGUUAAGUAUGUUUUUAGCUCUUAAAAAGGCCCUGUAAUCUCCUGCUCUUUGCUCUGAUAAAACAUGAACCAUAGCAGUAAGGCCUUUUUUGCUUUUGCACUUGCUUUGGUGACUCGAAUUUGUACUACUGUGUACCAUAUUUUUUCACAGUGACUUCAGAGUACAUUUGUGUAACUACCUGUUGCAUUUUGGCUUCUGCUGCCAAGUUUGGUGUUGAUUUAUGCUUUAAAAUGCGAUGAUUUUAUUUGUAGUAUAUGGUGAAUACUCAUUGGUUUUGGUUUGUUGUUGCCGUGUUGUG